Molecule: small nuclear RNA, 107 nt
Organism: Otolemur garnettii (small-eared galago)
Lineage: Eukaryota; Metazoa; Chordata; Mammalia; Primates; Galagidae
Source: Ensembl
GUGCUCACUUUGGCAGCACAUAUACUAAAAAUUGGAACAUACAGAGAAGAUUAGUAUGGCCCCUGCGCAAGGAUGACACACAAAUUCAUGAAGCAUUCCUAUUUUUG